RNAcentral lists this ribosomal RNA (514 nucleotides) under uncultured bacterium. RNAcentral's name for it is "partial 16S ribosomal RNA". It matches the Rfam family "Bacterial small subunit ribosomal RNA", at positions 28 to 523 of the family's 1533-position model. The record is from RNAcentral.
GAUGAACGCUGGCGGCGUGCCUAAUACAUGCAAGUCGAGCGAACAGAUGAGAAGCUCGCUUCUCUGAUGUUAGCGGCGGACGGGUGAGUAACACGUGGGUAACCUACCUAUAAGACUGGGAUAACUCCGGGAAACCGGGGCUAAUACCGGAUAAUAUUUUGAACCGCAUGGUUCGAUAGUGAAAGACGGUUUCGGCUGUCACUUAUAGAUGGACCCGCGCCGUAUUAGCUAGUUGGUAAGGUAACGGCUUACCAAGGCGACGAUACGUAGCCGACCUGAGAGGGUGAUCGGCCACACUGGAACUGAGACACGGUCCAGACUCCUACGGGAGGCAGCAGUAGGGAAUCUUCCGCAAUGGGCGAAAGCCUGACGGAGCAACGCCGCGUGAGUGAUGAAGGUCUUCGGAUCGUAAAACUCUGUUGUUAGGGGAGAACAAAUUUGUUAGUAACUGAACAAGUCUUGACGGUACCUAACCAGAAAGCCACGGCUAACUACGUGCCAGCAGCCGCGGUAA